AUUGAACGCUGGCGGCAGGCCUAACACAUGCAAGUCGAGCGGAGCGGCGGAAGGGUGAGUAAUGCAUAGGAAUCUGCCUGGUAGUGGGGGAUAACGUCCGGAAACGGGCGCUAAUACCGCAUACUAUCAGAUGAGGCUAGGUCGGAUUAGCGAGUUGGUGGGGUAAAGGCCUACCAAGGCGACGAUCCGGAACUGGUCUGGGGGGAUGAUCAGUGAAAUUGGAAAUGUGACACGGUCCAGAUUCCUACGGGAGGCAGCAGUGGGGAAUAUUGAACAAUGGGCGAAAGCCUGAUCCAGCGAUGCCGCGGGGGUGAAGAAGGUCUUCGGAUUGUAAAGCACUGGAAGUCGGGAGGCGUUACCAACAGAAUAAGCACCGGCUAACUUCGUGCCAGCAGCCGCGGUAAUAC
Molecule: ribosomal RNA, 407 nt
Filed under: uncultured bacterium
Lineage: Bacteria
Description: partial 16S ribosomal RNA
Rfam family: Bacterial small subunit ribosomal RNA
Source: RNAcentral